CCGAGCUGGCCAGUCUAACAUGCAAGUCGAGCGGUAGAGAGAAGCUUGCUUCUCUUGAGAGCGGCGGACGGGUGAGUAAUGCCUAGGAAUCUGCCUGGUAGUGGGGGAUAACGUUCGGAAACGGACGCUAAUACCGCAUACGUCCUACGGGAGAAAGCAGGGGACCUUCGGGCCUUGCGCUAUCAGAUGAGCCUAGGUCGGAUUAGCUAGUUGGUGAGGUAAUGGCUCACCAAGGCGACGAUCCGUAACUGGUCUGAGAGGAUGAUCAGUCACACUGGAACUGAGACACGGUCCAGACUCCUACGGGAGGCAGCAGUGGGGAAUAUUGGACAAUGGGCGAAAGCCUGAUCCAGCCAUGCCGCGUGUGUGAAGAAGGUCUUCGGAUUGUAAAGCACUUUAAGUUGGGAGGAAGGGUUGUAGAUUAAUACUCUGCAAUUUUGACGUUACCGACAGAAUAAGCACCGGCUAACUCUGUGCCAGCAGCCGCGGUAAUACAGAGGGUGCAAGCGUUAAUCGGAAUUACUGGGCGUAAAGCGCGCGUAGGUGGUUUGUUAAGUUGGAUGUGAAAUCCCCGGGCUCAACCUGGGAACUGCAUUCAAAACUGACUGACUAGAGUAUGGUAGAGGGUGGUGGAAUUUCCUGUGUAGCGGUGAAAUGCGUAGAUAUAGGAAGGAACACCAGUGGCGAAGGCGACCACCUGGACUAAUACUGACACUGAGGUGCGAAAGCGUGGGGAGCAAACAGGAUUAGAUACCCUG
RNAcentral lists this ribosomal RNA (758 nucleotides) under bacterium. RNAcentral's name for it is "bacterial SSU rRNA". It matches the Rfam family "Bacterial small subunit ribosomal RNA", at positions 36 to 789 of the family's 1533-position model. The record is from RNAcentral.